Panicum virgatum (switchgrass) is the source of this 3074-nucleotide long non-coding RNA. RefSeq lists it as uncharacterized. The transcript is spliced from 2 exons. NCBI's taxonomy places the organism in Eukaryota, Viridiplantae, Streptophyta, Magnoliopsida, Poales, Poaceae. The record is from RefSeq and is a predicted model, not a curated record.
CCCGCUCCACCCCGGUCGCGUUGAUCCGUGGCGGCAGCCCAGCCACUCCGGCCUGGCUCCGUUGACCUGGCGCGGUGUCCCUGCUCCACCCGGCCGCAUCGACCCGUGGCGUCGGCGGCCCGCUCGCUCCGCCCCGGUCGCGUCGUCGUCCUGCGGCGCCGGGUCGAUUGCGCCGACCUGCGGCGGCGGCCUGGCUUCACCACGGCGGAGGCCAAUCUCCACCCCAGCCGCCGCUCCUCUACGGCGACGGCUUGGAUGCCCGACCGCCCGCGACGGCUUGCUGCUCAAUAGAGGCGCAGAGGGCAGGCUUGAGCGGCGAAGCAUGUGGCAGCAGGGUGGUCCUUUAUCGGCAGCAGUGCCGUGAGCUCGCCGCCAAGAGAUAGCUCGACGCCUCGACCUCUGCCCCACCAUGGCAUCCCCCUUUGUCUCCCUCAGUCCGCUCUCCCCUCCCUCCCCCUCUCUCAGAUUCUAUUGGCGACCGCUGACCGCGUCAUGCUCCCCGCCCUUCCACCUCCACUGCGCCCCCUCACCGUUCUCCUCUCGGGGACGCGCCGCCGGCUGAGGAGCUCGCAGUGGUCGCGCUCUCUGUGUGCUCAGCGGUGACAGGAUCGCGGCCCUAGAGGACGCCCGUGGCUCAAGCUUGGCGUUUGACCGCGCUGCCCCAAGGAGUAGGACUGGCGUUGACCACCUGAGCAGCUCCCUUGUUUCGGCAAGGAUCCAUGUCCAUGGGAUGCAAGACUAUGAGUUUCUUGCUUAUUCGAUCCUCGCGGGAUGGCCAUCUUCACCAUUCUGCGCAGCCUCCUCAGCCACCAAGUCUGUGCACAUCAGCUUACAUUUUUGGAAGAGGUAAUAACUAGGUAAUGCGCAAACAGAAAAUUCUAUUUGCCUUGCUGCUUCCAGUUUUCGCAUUAUGGAUUCCAUUUAACUCGUAGUCGAAGCCUUUUUUUUAUUCAGAAGAAAGUCAAUUCAGGUAUAUAUGUUUCUUGACUUUACUAAAAGUGUGCACUUGAGAACAAGAUUUGCACAACCAUCUCAAUCUGUGUAGUUCAUCACUCCUAUGCAUACUGACAUCUUGCUUCAUUCAUGUUUGUCAUGAAAGCAUGUUCAAGAAGUGCAUCCUCCCAAUUUCCCACAUGAAAUGUAACAGGCGUAACACAGACGUCAAUUCUUCUUGAAGGUAAAGUUAGUUUACCCCUAGGCGCGCGCCAUUCAUUGUUGUUUCACUUUCUGCAUUACAAUUAUGAGGCGGUGAGAAUUUGAUGGUUGACAUUCAUGCCAUAAUCUUUGUUGAGUGGCAGUGUGAUGCUCUUCUCUGUAGCAGUUCUCCAUGUACCAGUUGCAAGCGGGGACAUAAUUUCCCUGUAAAUGUGCUACCUUAUGUCCUGCACCCUUCUAUUGAUUUGGAAAUGAGGUCCUCUUUCAAGCUGUACUUUUGCUUGAGGAUUUUAUAAUCUGUUCAGUUUGUUGUUGAAAAGUAUAUGAUUUCCAUACUCUUGAUUUUAUGGGAAUUUUAUUUGUGUCACAGUAACAUGGACUGGAUAUGAAAAAAAACUACCAAUUGAUAUCUUUUUAGCUUGUUUUAUUUCAAGCAGUUCUGGCUAAAGACAUACUUCUUGUAUGAAAAAAAUCAGUUUCUUGUUGUAUGUUUGCAGCAAAACAAGUUUUGGGGUAAAUGAGAUAUGCCAUGCAAGAGACAAGACACUUAUAAGUAACACAGAAAUUAUGUUCAUUAUAAAUGAAAUGUCCAAGAUAUGUCCAAAUGUUUUAUAUUAUGGUCAAGAAGUUUUUUGUUUGUUUUGGUUACAUGUCUGCGGCGGCGAUUGAUCUGGAAUGUCUAUUUUAUUCAGAAUACAUGAUAUGUUUCACCCUUCUUUUGAUUCACAAGUAUGCAGGUCGAAUUAUUCAGUUGCUUGAUUUCAUAACAAUUCGCGUUGGGUCUCGUCAUAGCCUUAUUUUUGUUCAUGCUCGAGGCCAUGCAUGUCAAUCAGGAUCGCCUGUGUGCUCAGGCUCCUCUAGGCCGGCCAGCAUCAAUGUGAGUAAAGCUUGAAACUCCUUGUCCUGUAAUCCCACUGCUCACAAAAGUGACUAACUAAAUCAUGGAGCUGUUUGAUACAUUCAUCAGAUCUUGAUGUUCAAUCUGGUGCACACAGUCAAAUUUGGCCAUGGUGACUGCUUGUAGGCCAUCCUCUUGGUGGCCCACAGCACGCUGGUGGUCAACUCAUGGUGAGAUCUUUGCCUUAUGUCUAUUUGUAUAUGUUUACGUGCCACUCACAUGAUGUUAUCCAAGCUUGAUUGAGUUUUGGGUCUGAGCACCAAUUCUAUCUGAUUGGUUCUAUUAUCAAAGUAGCACGGCAAAUUGGUUUUGAUUUAGAAGUAGUGCAUCUGUUCAUCUGUUGGCAUCUACAAUUCUCACGUCAGAAAUCACACUGAUAUGAGGCAAGUUUUCUGAUUUAUUUGUAGAUUUAUAGCUUCUCGACCGCUUUAUUUCUCACUUCGAAUCUAAUGGAAUAUAGCUUUCUUAUUAGUAGUAUUAUGCAUUUAAUUUCUGAAUAUUUUUUCUAGAUGACAGCUUGAUAACAAGGUGAAAUACAUUUAUUUUUAUUCAUGGAGCAAGAUGAGAAUAUUAAUGUUCUUACAGUUAGGUUUAUUUGUUUCCAUUCAAUUUGAGAGGUGUCUCAUUUCUGCUCUUCAUGCCUUCUUUUGUGUUCUAAAACUUCUAUGUCAGGAUAUGUUUCAUUCAGUUCUCCAUGUUUCAUGUUCACCGGCGGGGCCUUUCAGCUUGCACGGGUGGUGGCGCCAGUUACGGCGACUGGUAGCGGCGGCGAGCUUCCCCUUGAGGCUGCCCACCUCCGCCUGCUUGCACUGGAGCUAGCACUAGAGGUCGUCGAGCGCGGCCUCAUACGACGUGAUGGCCUCGCGGAGCGGCGGCGCGGAGGGGUUGGAAUAAUAUUCACUUCAGUCAACACAUGAUGUAAACUGCAAUAAAACCUUUUGUCAGAUGGUCUCGUAGCAUGUAACCACCACAUGUGCGAUGAAAUUAAUAUAAUAAUUUUUAUUGUUUGUUUUGCAUACCA